AAUUCUCAAACCUCUCAAAUUUAGAGGAGAGAGGGUUUGGACUUGGAGUGUGCUGGGUCAUGUCAGCUCCUCUUAAAUGCAUUAGCUUGUACUCUUGUGGAUGGGCUUUGGUUUGAUAAUAUCUAUGCCAUUGCUGUGAAACAAAUAUCAGCUUCUAACACCCCAUACUUUAUUAUAU
Molecule: unclassified non-coding RNA, 178 nt
Filed under: uncultured Hygrophorus
Lineage: Eukaryota; Fungi; Basidiomycota; Agaricomycetes; Agaricales; Hygrophoraceae
Description: sequence contains ITS2
Source: RNAcentral